This 73-nucleotide transfer RNA is filed under the name Fidelibacterota bacterium. RNAcentral describes it as "tRNA-Thr". It matches the Rfam family "tRNA". Rfam says of the family: Transfer RNA (tRNA) molecules are approximately 80 nucleotides in length. Their secondary structure includes four short double-helical elements and three loops (D, anti-codon, and T loops). Further hydrogen bonds mediate the characteristic L-shaped molecular structure. tRNAs have two regions of fundamental functional importance: the anti-codon, which is responsible for specific mRNA codon recognition, and the 3' end, to which the tRNAs corresponding amino acid is attached (by aminoacyl-tRNA synthetases). tRNAs cope with the degeneracy of the genetic code in two manners: having more than one tRNA (with a specific anti-codon) for a particular amino acid; and 'wobble' base-pairing, i.e. permitting non-standard base-pairing at the 3rd anti-codon position. The record is from RNAcentral. Lineage: Bacteria; Pseudomonadati; Fidelibacterota.
GCCACCGUAGCUCAGUUGGUAGAGCAUUUCAUUCGUAAUGAAGGGGUCGGAGGUUCAAAUCCUCUCGGUGGCU